GAUGAACGCUGGCGGCGUGCCUAAUACAUGCAAGUCGAGCGAACGGACGAGAAGCUUGCUUCUCUGAUGUUAGCGGCGGACGGGUGAGUAACACGUGGAUAACCUACCUAUAAGACUGGGAUAACUUCGGGAAUCCGUAGCUAAUACCGGAUAAUAUUUUGAACCGCAUGGUUCAAAAGUGAAAGACGGUCUUGCUGUCACUUAUAGAUGGAUCCGCGCUGCAUUAGCUAGUUGGUAAGGUAACGGCUUACCAAGGCAACGAUGCAUAGCCGACCUGAGAGGGUGAUCGGUCACACUGGAACUGAGACACGGUCCAGACUCCUACGGGAGGCAGCAGUAGGGAAUCUUCCGCAAUGGGCGAAAGCCUGACGGAGCAACGCCGCGUGAGUGAUGAAGGUCUUCGGAUCGUAAAACUCUGUUAUUAGGGAAGAACAUAUGUGUAAGUAACUGUGCACAUCUUGACGGUACCUAAUCAGAAAGCCACGGCUAACUACGUG
This 497-nucleotide ribosomal RNA is filed under the name uncultured bacterium. RNAcentral describes it as "partial 16S ribosomal RNA". It matches the Rfam family "Bacterial small subunit ribosomal RNA", at positions 28 to 507 of the family's 1533-position model. The record is from RNAcentral.